AGGAUGAACGCUGGCGGCGUGCCUAACACAUGCAAGUCGAACGUCCUGUCUCGCAAGAGGCAGGGAGUGGCGGACGGGUGAGUACCACGUGGGUCAUCUACCGUGAGGUGAGGAAUACCGGCGAGAAAUCGCCGACAAGACCGCAUAGGCUCGAUGCAAGUCGAGCAAAGCUCUUUCGAGAGAGGGAGCGCCACACGAGGAGCCUGCGCCCGAUUAGCUAGCUGGUGGAGUAACGGUUCACCAGGGCGACGAUCGGUAGCUGGUCUGAGAGGACGAUCAGCCACACUGGGAUUGAGAACGGCCCAGACUCCUACGGGGGGCAGCAGUGAGGAAUUUCGUCAAUGGGGGCAACCCUGAACGAGCAACGCCGCGUGCAGGAAGAAGGUUUCGGAUCGUAAACUGCUUUUCUCGGGGAAGAGAACGGACGGUACCCGAGGAAUCAGCCCGGCUAACUACGCGCCAGCAGCCGCGGU
RNAcentral lists this ribosomal RNA (473 nucleotides) under uncultured bacterium. RNAcentral describes it as "SSU rRNA". It matches the Rfam family "Bacterial small subunit ribosomal RNA", at positions 26 to 521 of the family's 1533-position model. The record is from RNAcentral.